GGCCGCAACUGCAAUUUCAUGCAGCUCCCCCGCCUCCUGCCGCUGCUCCUUCUGUGCUUUUCGGUUGUGAUGUAACCACUGCUGCUGCUUGUUUUUAUUGUGCACGCUGUUGAUUUUGUGGACACUGUCAAUUACAAUUUUUGCAUAUUAUUUAUGAGAUUUCCAAUUGGAUGGCAACACAACACUGCACAUAGACACACCCGAUCUGGCCACACCUAGUUUUUGCCAAAAAGCUAUUAGUGAUGCGCGACCACACUUAGAAUGCAUUUUCACAAGUUUUAAUUACAAUUAAUAUUCGUGUAUUGAAAAGCAAAGGGUCAAAUAUGCAGACAGUAGCUGCCCGGCAGAAGCCAACUUCUUGAUUUUAAUGUUAAUCUUUUUCGGCCAGAUGACGUCCGAUCCUGACAAGACUCGCCUUUUUGGACUCGUGAACGUCCGUAGAAUUGAAUUCUGCACUGCAAAAAGAAAAAUAUAUAUUUUUAUAUUAAAAAAAGUACAAUUAGAAAACAACUUUAAAUGCCCAUAUCUCGGCCAAAUAAGGCCCGAUCCCACGUAAUGUAACCUCGUGCCACUUUGAUCAAUUUAACUAUAUUCUAAGAAAAAUAAUUUGUCAUUACGUUAUCUGCAUUUCACAGAGUCGAUAACUAUUCCAGUUUAUAAAGAAAUAUCAUUCCAAGAUCGGACAAUAAUUAAACCGAGAUAUAGCCUCGGACAAAAUGUCUGAACUACAUAUUCCUGGCCGAGCAAAAAAUAAAAACCGGUUCCCAGAUGACCCAUAUAUAUCCUUGGUUAUACCAUACCAUUGAUGUAGUCCUGGUGAACCUAAAAGACCAACAAAUCCUGGCGAAAUUCGCUCGGAAAUGAUCCACAAAUAUGUAUGCUUCUUCUUUCAGCCACCCGUCCUCCCUUUAUGAUUCCUAGAUGACCCAUAGAUAUCCUUGGAUUUACCAUACCAUUAAUAGAGUCCUGGGGAACCUAUAGUUCAAAAUCCCAGUAAAAUUCGCUUAAAAGCUUUAUUCACAUUUAAAUUAAGGUUUAAAAAUAAACGGUUGCAAAAUACCAUUAUA
Molecule: long non-coding RNA, 1067 nt
Organism: Drosophila montana
Lineage: Eukaryota; Metazoa; Arthropoda; Insecta; Diptera; Drosophilidae
Exons: 2
Source: RefSeq, a predicted model, not a curated record